GAUGAACGCUGGCGGCGUGCCUAAUACAUGCAAGUCGAGCGAACAGACGAUGAGCUUGCUCCUCUGACGUUAGCGCCGGACGGGUGAGCAACACGUGGAUAACCUACCUAUACUACCGGGACAACUUCGGGCAACCGGAGCUAGCACCGGAUAAUAUAUUGAACCGCCGGGUCCAAUAGUAAAAGUCGGUUUUGCUGUCACUUAUAGACGGAUCGUUGCCUCAUUAGCUAGUUGGUAAGGUACCGGCUUACCAAGGCAACGAUGCGUAGCCGACCUGAGAGGGUGAUCGGCCGCACUGGAACUGAGAAACGGUCCAGACGCCUACGGGAGGCAGCAGUAGGGAAUCUUCCGCAAUGGGCGAAAGCCUGACGGAGCAACGCAGCGUGAGUGAGGAAGGUCUUCGGAUCGUAAGACUCUGUUAUUAGGGAGGAACAAAUGUGUAAGUAACUAUGCACGUCUUGACGGUACCUAAUCAGAAAGCCACGGCUAACUACGUG
Molecule: ribosomal RNA, 497 nt
Filed under: uncultured bacterium
Lineage: Bacteria
Description: partial 16S ribosomal RNA
Rfam family: Bacterial small subunit ribosomal RNA
Source: RNAcentral